GCGGGCGAGUGACGUGCGCUCUGGAGGCUGGCGAGGGGGCGCGGUGGCCCCGGAGCGGAGGGACGGCGAGGCCAGCCUUGGCAUCUGGAGUUGGGAGAGGGCCCUCGCGGUGGGCCUUUGACGUCGGUAGACUUUGGCGCCCGCAGAAAGGACAUUGUGUCUGAUGAAAUAAAGCAGGUAGAGUGUUUUGUAACCGGAAAGUGCCUUAGAAAAGACUUCUUAAUACAUUCUGGAUACGAGUUCUUGGUCAAAUAUACCCCACAGUGGUAGAGACCGCAUGAUGGUAUAUAACCAUCAGAGACAAGGUAGGCACAAUUACCAUAGUAAACCAAAGAAGACAGUGUUAACCAGAGUGUUUUGACCCACAGGGAGAAGUGAUAAUGGAUGGCUAAAUGAUCAUGAGGUCCCUAGAAAUGAAAGAGAUUAACCUAUUAAGGUGCUGCUUGACAUCUAUAUAGGUGGAAGAAUUCUGUAAUGUAAACCAACUUGUGUUGAAUUUGAAGCAUCCCAUCCAGUUCACAGACUUGGUACUUCUUGAUGAUGGGGAGAGAUUUGAUCCCUUUGAGGAAGAACCCUGCAAUGCAGCCACAGCAGUACAACCAUGAAUGAGUCCUAAUCCAGUGGUUCCCAACCUUGUCUGCACAUAAGAACACCUUAGAAUUCUAACGCCCACCCCAAGCCAAUUAACUCAACUUCUGGGACGAUACCUAGGCAUUUGUAUUUUUUACUCCCCAGGUAACUCCAGUGAGCAAAUUAGGGAAUCAGUGCCUUAAUUCUUCUCCAGUGGCCAUUUAUUGGUUAGAAUAGGGGGCCUAAGAAAGUCAAAUGACAGAUGGAGUCUUGGGCUGAGUCUGGCUAACACUGAGCCCAGAGAGACCCAUACUGAGGUUAGUUCUCCAGUCCCAGAUGUAUAGUAAGAAUAAAUAUAUUUUAAUAGCUGAAGCAACCUUCAUUUUGGUUUCCUGACCAAUGAAUGGAGUGAGUGUUAUGGUAGGAAGGACUACUUGGAAGUUCAGAACUGCUUGUCUACCACUCCCUCCCAAGACAGUGAAAGAAAUUAGCACCACCAUGCUGGCAUGAUGAUUCAUAUCCUAUUCCCAUUUUAAUUCCCUAUGUGGUCACCAGAUGGGUCAUAGAGAUGGUAGUGUAAAAAACAGAUGGAUAGUGAAGAAUGACAGUGGAUUAUUGCAAAGCUUAAUCAGGUGCGGGGGGAUGCCAGUUGUAGUUGUGGUAUCCAAGUGUGGUAUCUUCAUUGGAAGAAAUUAAUAUGGACUUUGACAUGAUAUACAGGUAUUGAUCUGGAAAUGUGCCUCGCCCCCACCCCUACCCCAUUCCAAUCAAUAAAGAAAAUCAGAAGCAGAUUGCAUUUAAACGGAAGGGACAACAGUAAAUCCUAACUGUCUUGUCUCAAAGCUAUGUCAACUUUACUGUUGUCUCUUAUAUGAAGGGACCUUGAUUAGCUCACUGUGCCAUAGGGUGUCACACUGGUCUAUUAUAGCAAAGAAAUUAUAUUAAAUGAACCUAGUGUACAAGGAGUAGCAAGCAUUCUGCAUAUUUUGGUAAGACAUAUGCAUGCCAGAAGAUGCAAGAUAAACCCUGCAAAACUUCCAGGACCUGCCGUAAGUUUCGAGAGCUGCAGUGGCCUAAGACACAUUAGGAUAUCCUUUCAGGUAAGUGAUGGGUCGUUGUGUUUUCUACCACUACCACAAAGGAAAAGGAGAAAAUGUGUAACAGGCCUUUCUGGGUUCUGGAGGCAACAAAAUAUAGGUUAGAGCAGGUCACCCUGCACCCUGCUGUUUCCUGGGUAACUAUAAGACUACUAGUUUUGAGUGGGGCCCAGAGCAAACUGUCUUGCCAGUUGGGCCUCAUGAUUGGGCAGAUCCAGUGGUAUUGGAAGUUCAUGUGGUAGAGAUGUUACAUGAAACCUUGGAUAUGCUCCAGUAGGACAAUUACAGCAUAGACCCUUUGGUUUUGGAAUAAGGAUGUAUCUUCCUCAGCAAACAGCAUUUAAUUUUGUUUCUUUGAACAUUUUGUUUUCAAAAAAAAAAAAAAAAACCAUUUUGUCUUGUUUAUUUGAAAAGCAGCUCCUGCUACCUGGUAGAGAUGGAACACCUAACCAUAGGACAUCAAAUGACCAUGUGAAUAAUAAAACCGCCCAUCGUGAACUGGUGUUAUCCGGUUCGCCAAAUCAUACAGCUGGAUGAGCACAGCAGCAGCCCAUCCCUGUGAGACUGGGCACACGGCCACAAGUCAACCAGAUGCAGAUGAGAGUAUAACUGAAUUGACACCACCCCAUGAUGACUUCGUAGCUGAUGGGAGGAGACUGUAUGGUGGAAAAGAGUGAGUUUCUUGAGACGUGAACUUCAUUUCUGAGAAGAGCUGUUCAUUUCACACACACAAAAAGUACCAAUAUAAUAUACUGAACUAUAUACCAUUGUUUAAAAGCACUGAUUUUUUAUGCACAUAGUCACACAUCGAUUAGGAAUGCAAGCCUCUAUUAACAAAUCCAGUGGGUAUUAAACACACACGUGAGAGUUCUAAAAGCUGAGGGAAAACAAUUAUACAACCAUAUGGAAAAUUGCCCCUACAAAUUCACGAUCUAUCUUAGGCCCUUAGUAAGGCUUUUUUUUCUUUUCUUUCAUUAGUUCUUCAGUUUCCAUCUUUAGUGAUUCCACUGUUACCUCCUUUUCACAUGCCCAACUCAUUGUCAUCGCACUGCCCUCCUUCCUAUUUUACCAGGUUGAGAACACUGAAUAUUAAUGGUCAACCUCCUGCCUCCUCCCACCUAAAAUUUAUCUUCAUUUUUUACCCAUUCUAAUUUUCUUCCCUCUAGUCCCCUAUAGGUUUACCAACCUUGUACAGAAUCAAAUACUUUCUGACCAACAGCCACAUCUUGUGAAGGAACUGGUUCCACCCAUUAAUCCCUCUCCUGUGUAUCUCAUCACCCUCAUGACUCUUGCUUGACCAUAAACAUCCUCAAAUCUCUCAUUCUAAAAAAAAUCCUCCUUUGAUCCUAAGUUCUCUAAGCUAAUACUCUAUCUUCCAGUUUUUUAAAUCAUAGCCAAGCUCUCCAUUUUUUUCUCUUUCGAUUCACUCCCCAACCUACUUUAACUGUGUCAACACCACUUCACUCAGUGACAGAUGACUCAGUGACAAAAUUUAGUUCACAAAUUUCUAAUCCCUAGUAUAUUUGAACUUUCUAUACCAUUUGACACUGGAUAUUUUGAGUAUGUGGUCAAAUAUUUUUUCAGAUGAAUAAAGUGGGAAUCAAUGGAGGAAAGGGAAGAAGUUACUCCCCAAUUCACGAGUACCCAAUGAAUUAUAAAUAGCUGUAGUCCCCAGAAUAAUGUCCUCCCCUUCUCCCUGCUGCCACCAAAGAUGUCCACACCUAGUCCGUGGAACCUGUGAAUAUGUUAUGUUACACAGCAAGGAGGAAUUAAAUUUGUAGAUGGAGUUCAGGUUGCUAAUCAUUUGGCCUUCAAGUGGGCAGAUUAUCCCUGUGGGCCCAAUAUAAUCACAAAGGUCGUUACAUAAGUGAGAGGAGGCAGAUGAGUGUGACAGAGUGCUAUGAUGUGACAAAGACUCAACCAGCCAUUGCUGGCUUUGAAGAUGGAAGAGGGUCAUAAGCCAAGGAAUGCUGGUGGCCUCUGGAAGCUGGAAAGGGCAAGAAAACAGAUUCUGCCCUAGAACUUCCAGAAAGGAGUGAACCUGGCUUAUACCUUGAUUUUAGACCAGUGAGAUACAUUUCAGAAUUCUGACCUCCAAAUCUGUAAGGUAACUGUGUUGUUUUA
Long non-coding RNA from Camelus dromedarius (Arabian camel), 3791 nucleotides. RefSeq lists it as uncharacterized. The transcript is spliced from 4 exons. The record is from RefSeq and is a predicted model, not a curated record. NCBI's taxonomy places the organism in Eukaryota, Metazoa, Chordata, Mammalia, Artiodactyla, Camelidae.